UAUUCUAUUCGACAGAAGGCAGUCACCAGGUUCAGCCUUACACAGGAAUGUGCAUAGCAGGAGGGGAUUAUUGGGGUCACCUUAAAGGCUGCCUACUAUACUAGACUUCAAAAAUUCAAAGUACCUCUGGAUUUUUCCUUCUCCUUUUUCUUUCCUUAAUCAGCUGAUUCAGCAGUGAUUCAUAGAGCAUCUAUUGUGCAUAAUGCCUUGUGGUAAAUACCAUGGGAAACACAACAAUAUUUAAUCACAGAGCUCUGCAUUUCACUUGAGGGGUCCAAAUCUACAGUGAGAUAAGGUUCUGGAAGAAUGUUCAAACCCACAUCUCCUUACACACUAGAAUCCAUAUACAACAUACUUGCAGCAUUGGAGGUAUUAUGUCUUGAAGAGCUAAAGCAGAUCUAUGCAGAAUUGAGUCAGAGAACAUGCCAUGCUAGCCUUGAAAUACGGAUGACUCAAUUUGAGGAAGGAAACACAACCUCCCCAAACCAACUGGGCCAGUUCUAAAGCUAAGAGGAAAAGCAGUGGCUCUCAGUGCACCAAGUCUGUGUGAACUUUGUUUGCCAUGCCAGGAAUUCUCUUGUGCUCUUUCUUACCCUGGUCUUUCUACUGUCUCCAGAGAGUUCCCUCAACACCAGGACGUAGAACUUCGUCCACUGUCUCCCCAAAUCUUCACAUUUCAAUUGAUCUCCCAGUUGCUGCAGAAUGGAUUGUAGUUAAGAGGAACAACAUAACUGGUAGAGCAGCUACUUGCCUUGUGUAGGAAUUUUAUUUAGGUGAUAUUGUUAGUAACAACAGUAAACAUUUAUUAAGAACUAGCACAAUAUUUGACACAGGAAGACCUGUUACAUAAAUAAAGUCUGGUGAGUUUAUAAUUCA
Molecule: long non-coding RNA, 876 nt
Organism: Canis lupus familiaris (dog)
Lineage: Eukaryota; Metazoa; Chordata; Mammalia; Carnivora; Canidae
Exons: 4
Source: RefSeq, a predicted model, not a curated record